GAGUAAACUACCCAUUGUCCGAGCUGGUAGACGAGGAGCAACUGGACAUGGAAGAUGACACGUCCAAGUAUUGCGUGUCAAACCUGACGUGCCAGAUGGCCAAGAUUGGCAUCACAAAUGUUGUAGAGGCAUGGAAUGCUCACAGGAUCCCAGGAAAAGGCAUACCAGAUGACCUGGCUAAAGAAGGGUGUCCUGCAAAACCUGAGGAUGAUGUUGUACCUAUUGGUGCCAUUGCAGCGGAACUGUAUCAUCAGCAAGUGGGCUCUGCCUUGAAAAGAGAAUCUGUUUUUGGAUCUAAUCCUUUCUCCUCUGAGGAAGCUCAACAAUGGACUGAAAAGGAGUUUAAUUCUCACUUUGAUACAUUAUCCUUAUACCAAAAUGUGAUUCACCAGAACUAUUCACCUUU
This is a long non-coding RNA of Monopterus albus (swamp eel), 406 nucleotides long. RefSeq lists it as uncharacterized. The record is from RefSeq and is a predicted model, not a curated record. The transcript is spliced from 2 exons. NCBI's taxonomy places the organism in Eukaryota, Metazoa, Chordata, Actinopteri, Synbranchiformes, Synbranchidae.